Molecule: non-coding RNA, 111 nt
Organism: Acanthosepion pharaonis
Lineage: Eukaryota; Metazoa; Mollusca; Cephalopoda; Sepiida; Sepiidae
Source: the annotation of a GenBank genome assembly
UACAGUCACAUCACGUUGAAACACCGGUUCCUGUACGAUCACCGAAGUUAAGCAAUAUCAAGUUUGGACAGUACCUAGAUGGGUGACUGCUUGGUAAGAGAAGGUAUUGUA